This 72-nucleotide transfer RNA is filed under the name Solanum lycopersicum (tomato). It matches the Rfam family "tRNA". Rfam says of the family: Transfer RNA (tRNA) molecules are approximately 80 nucleotides in length. Their secondary structure includes four short double-helical elements and three loops (D, anti-codon, and T loops). Further hydrogen bonds mediate the characteristic L-shaped molecular structure. tRNAs have two regions of fundamental functional importance: the anti-codon, which is responsible for specific mRNA codon recognition, and the 3' end, to which the tRNAs corresponding amino acid is attached (by aminoacyl-tRNA synthetases). tRNAs cope with the degeneracy of the genetic code in two manners: having more than one tRNA (with a specific anti-codon) for a particular amino acid; and 'wobble' base-pairing, i.e. permitting non-standard base-pairing at the 3rd anti-codon position. The record is from Rfam by way of RNAcentral. Lineage: Eukaryota; Viridiplantae; Streptophyta; Magnoliopsida; Solanales; Solanaceae.
GGACCCUUAGCUUAGUGAUAAAGUAUUUGACCGCAAAUCAAGAGAUAAUCAAUUCGAACCUGAUAAGACCCU